GACGAACGCUGGCGGCGUGCCUAAUACAUGCAAGUCGAACGAGAGCAACCGGUGCUUGCACUGGUCAAUCUAGUGGCGAACGGGUGAGUAACACGUGGGUAACCUGCCCAUCAGAGGGGGAUAACAUCCGGAAACGGAUGCUAAAACCGCAUAGGUCUUCGAACCGCAUGGUUUGAAGAGGAAAAGAGGCGCAAGCUUCUGCUGAUGGAUGGACCCGCGGUGCAUUAGCUAGUUGGUGAGGUAACGGCUCACCAAGGCCAUGAUGCAUAGCCGACCUGAGAGGGUGAUCGGCCACAUUGGGACUGAGACACGGCCCAGACUCCUACGGGAGGCAGCAGUAGGGAAUCUUCCGCAAUGGACGCAAGUCUGACGGAGCAACGCCGCGUGAGUGAAGAAGGUUUUCGGAUCGUAAAACUCUGUUGUUAGAGAAGAACAAGUGCUAGAGUAACUGUUAGCGCCUUGACGGUAGCUAACCAGAAAGCCACGGCUAACUACGUG
This 498-nucleotide ribosomal RNA is filed under the name uncultured bacterium. Its description in RNAcentral is "partial 16S ribosomal RNA". It matches the Rfam family "Bacterial small subunit ribosomal RNA", at positions 28 to 507 of the family's 1533-position model. The record is from RNAcentral.